Molecule: ribosomal RNA, 142 nt
Filed under: uncultured eukaryote
Lineage: Eukaryota
Description: partial 18S ribosomal RNA
Rfam family: Eukaryotic small subunit ribosomal RNA
Source: RNAcentral
UGGUGGAGUGAUUUGUCUGGUUAAUUCCGUUAACGAACGAGACCUCGACCUGCUAAAUAGUUCGACGAAUCCUCUUGGAUUCGUACGUGACUUCUUAGAGGGACUUCGCUUGCGUAGGGUGAGGAGGUUCGAGGCAAUAACA